CGGGGUGUAGCGUAGCCCGGUUAUCGCGCCACAUUUGGGAUGUGGAGGUCGUGUGUUCGAAUCACACCACCCCGA
RNAcentral lists this transfer RNA (75 nucleotides) under Cytophagales bacterium. RNAcentral's name for it is "tRNA-Pro". It matches the Rfam family "tRNA". From Rfam's summary of the family: Transfer RNA (tRNA) molecules are approximately 80 nucleotides in length. Their secondary structure includes four short double-helical elements and three loops (D, anti-codon, and T loops). Further hydrogen bonds mediate the characteristic L-shaped molecular structure. tRNAs have two regions of fundamental functional importance: the anti-codon, which is responsible for specific mRNA codon recognition, and the 3' end, to which the tRNAs corresponding amino acid is attached (by aminoacyl-tRNA synthetases). tRNAs cope with the degeneracy of the genetic code in two manners: having more than one tRNA (with a specific anti-codon) for a particular amino acid; and 'wobble' base-pairing, i.e. permitting non-standard base-pairing at the 3rd anti-codon position. The record is from RNAcentral. Lineage: Bacteria; Pseudomonadati; Bacteroidota; Cytophagia; Cytophagales. RNAcentral also lists the same sequence under 2 other names.